RNAcentral lists this long non-coding RNA (914 nucleotides) under Mustela putorius furo (domestic ferret). RNAcentral describes it as "lncRNA (ENSMPUG00000026970.1)". The record is from RNAcentral. Lineage: Eukaryota; Metazoa; Chordata; Mammalia; Carnivora; Mustelidae.
GUCAGCAUUUACGUAGUGAUGUGUGGCUCGAGUUAUGAGACCACCGAUUCACGGCCUGCGCUUGCCUCUCUCUGAGAAGCUGAGAAGGCAGUAAACCUCCAUCACUCUGCAGUAUUGAAAUCUCAGAUUAUUCAAGGUACUCCGGGCACAUUUAGCAUGGAACUGUCCUAUAACUUGGAUUGAAAUGAAAACCGCCCCGUGGCGGGAGUCCCUGGAGGAAGUAGGGAGUUGCAUGAGGGGAGUCUGCAGUCCUAAGCAAGAGGGAUGGGGAGAGACUCUGCGGUGCUUUGAUAAACAAUGAACUUAAAAGGAAAGAAAGUGAGGUUUAUAGUUGACGCUGAGUCUGUCGUUCAGUCAGCCCAGCUUGGGCUCCAGACAUGUGAGUCAAGAAGCCAUCUUGAAAAUGGACUCUCCAGCCCUAGCUGUCCCCACCACCAGCCAUUCAGAUCGCUCCCCACUGCGUGAGUGGUCCCAGCUGAAGCCUCAGAUACCGCGGAGCAGAGAAGGCUGUCCCCUUUGUCCUUUCUGAAUUCCUGACCCAAAGAAUCCAUGUGCCUAAUAAAAUGGUUGUCGGGGCGCUUGGGUGGCUCAGUCCAUUAAGCGUCUGCCUUUGGCUCAAGUCAUGGUCCUGGGGUCCUGGGAGCAAGUUCCACAUCGGGCUCCCUGCUGAGUAGGGAGCCUGCUCUUUCCUCUGCCUGCUGUUCCCCCUGCUUGUGCUUGCUCUCUCUGACAAAUAAAUAAAAUCUCUUAAAUAAAAUAAAAUGGUUGUUGCUUCCUACCACUGAGUCUGGGGGUGGCUUGUUAUGCUAUAAUACAUAAAAGGAACACUGGGUCAUCUCAGCCUGGCCUGGGACCCUUUUAGCUCCACUGCAGGAUGACGGUUGACCCCGCUACCUCUGGCUGCUUCUGCACCC